UGUGAUUUUUUCUUUUCCUAUUAUGAAAGGUUAGAAAAUAAUGAAAAUUUAGUUAAAAGAAAGAAAGAGAAUAUUCUUACUAUUGGUAAGUUUUUAUAUGUGACCUUUUUACAAAGUAUGCUAAAGGGACAAACACAACAUAUCAAUAUACUUAAAAGACAUUUAAUAAUGAUAAUCAUUUUAGGAAAGAUUGUUUACAACAUAACCACUAAAAAUUAUUUAUUUGAUGUAAGGAGACAAUCAACUCGAUAAUAUAUAAACUGAUAAAAUCAUUUGUUACAUGAAAAGAGAAAUAUGGUCGAAUUUGUCAAGUUUGUUCAUGUUAUGAUUAUCUUUCUUUCCUUAUUUCUUUUUGCAAAGAACGUUGUAGGUAUUAUAUGUUUUCAAGAUUCUGAUUGUCCACAAGAUAUGUGCCCAUAUCCUUUUAAACCGAAGUGUAAUAAUUACGGCUAUUGUAAGUGUUAGAAAUAUUUUUCCAUUAGAUUCUAUCUCCACAUAAAUAGCACUUUUGUAAUUCUAGUUUUCUGCAAAGGAUUUCUGUCUAUUCUUGCUACUGUUUUGAGUAUUUCAAUUCUGAAAUAUAAGAAUGAGUAGUCUACUUUACCUUAGGGUUGCAGAGAGUCCCUUGGUGGGGGUUAUGUAAUUUUUAUCAUUACUCUAUAUGUUAUAGCAUCUGGUACAUUGAUAAAUUUAGUCUUAUGGUAUUGUAUUGUUUUGUAA
Molecule: long non-coding RNA, 720 nt
Organism: Trifolium pratense (red clover)
Lineage: Eukaryota; Viridiplantae; Streptophyta; Magnoliopsida; Fabales; Fabaceae
Exons: 2
Source: RefSeq, a predicted model, not a curated record